UGCUUGCACUCAAUUGGAAAGAGGAGUGGCGGACGGGUGAGUAACACGUGGGUAACCUACCCAUCAGAGGGGGAUAACACUUGGAAACAGGUGCUAAUACCGCAUAACAGUUUAUGCCGCAUGGCAUAAGAGUGAAAGGCGCUUUCGGGUGUCGCUGAUGGAUGGACCCGCGGUGCAUUAGCUAGUUGGUGAGGUAACGGCUCACCAAGGCCACGAUGCAUAGCCGACCUGAGAGGGUGAUCGGCCACACUGGGACUGAGACACGGCCCAGACUCCUACGGGAGGCAGCAGUAGGGAAUCUUCGGCAAUGGACGAAAGUCUGACCGAGCAACGCCGCGUGAGUGAAGAAGGUUUUCGGAUCGUAAAACUCUGUUGUUAGAGAAGAACAAGGACGUUAGUAACUGAACGUCCCCUGACGGUAUCUAACCAGAAAGCCACGGCUAACUACGUGCCAGCAGCCGCGGUAAUACGUAGGUGGCAAGCGUUGUCCGGAUUUAUUGGGCGUAAAGCGAGCGCAGGCGGUUUCUUAAGUCUGAUGUGA
RNAcentral lists this ribosomal RNA (541 nucleotides) under Enterococcus faecalis. Its description in RNAcentral is "bacterial SSU rRNA". It matches the Rfam family "Bacterial small subunit ribosomal RNA", at positions 70 to 597 of the family's 1533-position model. The record is from RNAcentral. Lineage: Bacteria; Bacillati; Bacillota; Bacilli; Lactobacillales; Enterococcaceae.